GAUGAAGAACGUAGCGAAAUGCGAUAAGUAAUGUGAAUUGCAGAAUUUAGUGAAUCAUCGAAUCUUUGAACGCACAUUGCGCCCGCCAGUAUUCUGGCGGGCAUGCCUGUUCGAGCGUCAUUUCAACCAUCAAGCCCCCGGGCUUGUGUUGGGGACCUGCGGCUGCCGCAGGCCCUGAAAACCAGUGGCGGGCUCGCUAGUCACUCCGAGCGUAGUAGUUACAUCUCGCUCAGGGCGUGCUGCGGGUUCCGGCCGUUAAAAGCCUUUUACCCCAAGGUUGACCUCGGAUCAGGUAGGAAGACCCGCUGAACUUAAGCAUAUCAAUAAGCGGAGGA
Molecule: unclassified non-coding RNA, 335 nt
Filed under: soil metagenome
Description: partial contains 5.8S ribosomal RNA, internal transcribed spacer 2, and large subunit ribosomal RNA
Rfam family: 5.8S ribosomal RNA (bases 1-120)
Source: RNAcentral